CAGUCGCCGCGGGAAUACGGAGGGGGCUAGCGUUGUUCGGAAUUACUGGGCGUAAAGCGCACGUAGGCGGCUUUACAAGUCAGAGGUGAAAGCCUGGUGCUCAACACCAGAAUUGCCUUUGAGACUGUAUCGCUUGAACGUCGGAGAGGUGAGUGGAAUUCCGAGUGUAGAGGUGAAAUUCGUAGAUAUUCGGAAGAACACCAGUGGCGAAGGCGGCCAUCUGGGACAACACUGACGCUGAGGCACGAAAGCGUGGGGAGCAAACAGGAUUAGAUACCCCCUGUAGUCCCUGUCUCUUAUU
Molecule: ribosomal RNA, 301 nt
Filed under: uncultured bacterium
Lineage: Bacteria
Description: partial 16S ribosomal RNA
Rfam family: Bacterial small subunit ribosomal RNA
Source: RNAcentral